GACAAGAAAAAAAUAUUUAUAUUUAAUUUAAUUAAACAUUUUUAAUGAGAGUCACAUUAAUGAAGAGAGGAGAGAGAUAUCUUUUUUUUACAAAUGUCACAUCAGCAUAAUAAAUCAGACAAUCUAUUUGUGAAGGUAAAAAAGAGUUUUAUAUUCAUUGGAUUGAAGUUAAGAGUUUUAGUGACUAUAAUGGUUUAGAAAUAUUAAGAGGGAGAAAUUUCUCUGAAUUUAGCUUCCUGUUUCUCUCGGGUUCGUCGAGCUCCAAUUAGUCUCUCUUUUGGCUUCCCUUGCCUUCAGCUAAGGGAAGGCUUUUCAUUUUAUUUUUGGUUAUCUUGCUUGGUGAAGAGGAAAGCCCUAUCCCAGCUAGGUGUGACUAUAAAUGGUUUUGUUGUGGGUGUUUAGAUUUCUUCUUUGCGUACAGGUCUAAGCUUCAGUGUGAGGGCAUCUUUAACGGCCUAGAAUGUUUGAGUUCCUGGGUUUGUGCUAAAUGAAGAGGCAAUGGCGGAUGGUUCUCUAGAGGAAGCUUUGUUUCCUAUUUGAUGGGUUUCUGUCAUCUUCUUCAUCUAUGAUGGGUUGCUAUGCAUGUUGAGAGUUGCUCUUGCCAUUCUGCAUUUCCAAAAUUUACUUCUAUACCAAGGCUAUGAAGGCCAUCCUAUCAUAGCUUUACGGUGGCCCCCUUUCCUCGAUGUAUAGUGGUUUUAAUGUCCUUAUUAUAGAUUUGGGAGGCUCAAGCUGUUCGGUUGAAAUGUUGUGAGUGGAUGGGCAUCUUUAUGUACUCCUUGCAUUGCUAACUUAUGUGGUCUAGCUUUGUUCUGCUUGGUGCUUGUGAAGAUAGCAAGUGUAGUUGGCGGUCGAUGCUUUUCUUUUUUCACUGCUCUUCUUCCUGCAGGUUUGGAUUUUGGUUUGCUGUUAUGGGCUUGGGUUUCAAUUAGUUGGUUAAUUAGGUUGAUUGUGUUGUUGGGUGGGUUGCCAUAGUUCAGUUUGGGCUUCCCCCUUCUUUACAGGUGUAAGCUCAAUUUGUACAUCUUUGCCCUAUGGACUUUUAAUGCAAUUUGGCAUAUAAAAAAAAAAUGUUAAAUGAAUUUUAUGCUACAAAUUGAAAUUCAGGCAUUGCACUAUUGUAAUACCCGAAGUUAAAUUUACCCAUGAAAGUUUAAAGUACCAAAUCUAAUUAUUAAAUGUGUUUUCU
Molecule: unclassified non-coding RNA, 1189 nt
Filed under: Hevea brasiliensis (rubber tree)
Lineage: Eukaryota; Viridiplantae; Streptophyta; Magnoliopsida; Malpighiales; Euphorbiaceae
Source: RNAcentral